UUUUGGACAAUGGGCGCAAGCCUGAUCCAGCAAUGCCGCGUGAGCGAAGAAGGCCUUCGGGUUGUAAAGCUCUUUUGUCAGGGAAGAAACGGUGAGCUCUAAUACAGUUUGCUAAUGACGGUACCUGAAGAAUAAGCACCGGCUAACUACGUGCCAGCAGCCGCGGUAAUACGUAGGGUGCAAGCGUUAAUCGGAAUUACUGGGCGUAAAGCGUGCGCAGGCGGUUAUGUAAGUCAGAUGUGAAAUCCCCGGGCUCAACCUGGGAAUGGCAUUUGAGACUGCAUGGCUAGAGUGUGUCAGAGGGGGGUAGAAUUCCACGUGUAGCAGUGAAAUGCGUAGAGAUGUGGAGGAAUACCGAUGGCGAAGGCAGCCCCCUGGGAUAACACUGACGCUCAUCACAAA
This 402-nucleotide ribosomal RNA is filed under the name uncultured bacterium. Its description in RNAcentral is "bacterial SSU rRNA". It matches the Rfam family "Bacterial small subunit ribosomal RNA", at positions 362 to 757 of the family's 1533-position model. The record is from RNAcentral.